Small nucleolar RNA from Chlorocebus sabaeus (green monkey), 81 nucleotides. RefSeq annotates it as small nucleolar RNA SNORD115. The record is from RefSeq and is a predicted model, not a curated record. Lineage: Eukaryota; Metazoa; Chordata; Mammalia; Primates; Cercopithecidae.
GGGUCGAUGAUAGAACCUUAUAUUGUCUGAAGAGAGUGAUGAAACUUAAAAAUCUGCUCAAUAGGAUUACGCUGAGAGCCC